AAGACUGUGCUUCACAGGAUCAUUUCUGUAGGCUAGUUUUCACAACAAGUUUUUUCCGAAAGGAAAAGAUUCCCACCCACGAUGAUGAGAAGAAGCGUCUAACCUGGAGCGUGAAACUUGGUAGAGUUUUGAUUCAUCUUUCCAGAUGAAUCUCUCUGCUGCUGAAGAUCGGCUCUCUUUCAUGGUUUGGAUGCAUUCUGAGUGGU
This is a small nucleolar RNA of Malaya genurostris, 206 nucleotides long. RefSeq annotates it as small nucleolar RNA U3. The record is from RefSeq and is a predicted model, not a curated record. The transcript has a single exon. Lineage: Eukaryota; Metazoa; Arthropoda; Insecta; Diptera; Culicidae.